RNAcentral lists this ribosomal RNA (429 nucleotides) under uncultured bacterium. Its description in RNAcentral is "bacterial SSU rRNA". It matches the Rfam family "Bacterial small subunit ribosomal RNA", at positions 355 to 776 of the family's 1533-position model. The record is from RNAcentral.
UGGGGAAUAUUGGACAAUGGGCGAAAGCCUGAUCCAGCAAUGCCGCGUGUGUGAAGAAGGCCUUCGGGUUGUAAAGCACUUUUAGUGGGGAAGAAAUACUCAAGGGUAAUAUCCUUGAGGGCUGACGUUACCCACAGAAAAAGCACUGGCUAACUCUGUGCCAGCAGCCGCGGUAAUACAGAGAGUGCGAGCGUUAAUCGGAAUUACUGGGCGUAAAGCGCACGUAGGUGGAUAUUUAAGUCGGAUGUGAAAUCCCUGGGCUCAACUCAGGAAUUGCAUUCGAUACUGAGUUUCUAGAGUAUAGUAGAGGGAGGUGGAAUUUCCGGUGUAGCGGUGAAAUGCGUAGAUAUCGGAAGGAACAUCAGUGGCGAAGGCGGCCUCCUGGACUAAUACUGACACUUAGGUGCGAAAGCGUGGGGAGCAAACAGG